AGGGCAUUUUCUGCUGUAGAAGCGUUUUUUUUUUCUUCUUCUUCUUCUUUUUUUGUUGGUUAAUUUCGGUUUGUGCUGUUUGGAGUUUAGAUUUUGAAUUGUUGCUGAUACGUGCUGGCAGGAUGUUUCAGUAGGAAAUCAAAUAUUUGGUGUUUUGAUGUAGCGUUUGAUUAUCAGUCGGUCUCGUGGAAAACCUGACAGUAAAGUUGUAUUUGUUUUUUCAUUUACAAAAUCAUAAACCCAAUGUUGUAACGCAUAAUGUUUUAAUUACUCAGUCAAGACAUGUACAUAUUUUAAGCAAGAAAUCAUUUCCUUUGUAUUUUUUUAUUUUAUUUUAUUACUUUUAUUAAAUUUUGUGUUAAAUUUGAUUUCAGUACACAGGAAACGGUUUUGUUUAUUUUUAUUUUUGUCUAGGUCGUGUUUUUUUCUUUCUUUUUAUUGUUUUUCUUAUCCAGAGUUGCUGAUUGGUUGAUGAUCGUGGUGCGUUUUCACACAUGGCGGCGCCCACGUGAAGACGCUGUGAUUCACCGUUGAUGGAUUCCUGGACGAUGUGAACCGUGUUGGACAGAUGUUCUCUGUAAAUGGACAUGUGAGGUAACAUUAUUUGUGUAAUUUUGCACUGGAAGGUUAACAGUUACACAUGCAUAUAGUUAGUCUGUUUCAUUCGUUGGAUUUGGUGAAGUACUUAAUGUUCUCUUCUUAAAUUAGGUGCACUGUCAUCAACCUGAGUGGUAGCCAAGCUGUUGGUGAGCUUGCUUCGAAAUCAAAAGGUUCCCAGUACAAGACCACCUGUGCCCGUUCUACAUGUAAUGUGGUGUUGCAUCAGUUAGGGCAUCCAGCAUAAAACGUGUGUCUAAUCAACGUGCAGAUCCAUGUGUGAUCUUCGAUCGUGAGCAAAAAAGGAGAAGCUGAAAAACUUUAAACCUGUCGUUCUCUGUUGUAGUGCAGCAUCAAACCAGGACUUAUGACUGGAGUUUCUCCUUUUAUAAGCAUCCUUCAUCCAUUCACAAGCUGCAGAUCGUCCACGUCUCCGCAACAUCCCACUGCUUAGAACUGCCAUUUAACUUCUCAAAUUACGCUCUAUUUUCUUUUCCCUCAUCUCUUCCUUUUUCCAUCCAAAAUCUGACUUUAGCUGCAAACUGUUGUCCCUGUGUGCUCCAAUCUGAACGGGAAUCACUAUGGUAACAGAACAGCGUCAUCCUAUCAUGUAGGAGGUCGUCUUGAUAAUGUGGUGCGAAAAAAAAGGGGCAAUUCUGCAAGCUCCAUCGUUCAAAUUUCCAGCCGUUUUAUGUGUUUGAGAAAAUUAAACUCUCAGCCUAAAGUAUUUAGAGAAAGUUUGUGAGAUUGUUGUGUAGCUGAAGCAUCAGUUUACAGCCUUAAUCCAGAGCUGCACACACCAUCCUGGAAGUGGCAGUCUCAAGGCUAUUUAUUUCUUCUCUCUCCCCUUCUUUAAUGCCUCUGCCUCGCCCUGUAAUGACUCUGUCUCGGCCUCUGUAUUGUCCGGCCUCAAGGAGUAAGCUGGGGCAGUAAUUAUUUUUCAACUGAACAAAAAAAGUGCAUUCACGGUAACUUUACACAUACCAUGAUCUGUGCAAUGCUUGAAUGCAUUUUCUAGUCAACUAUAUGCACACAUAGAAGCAUGCUACGCCUGUGAGUACUAGCAAGUACGUCUAGUGAUGGGAUGAUGAUACCUCAAGGAGUGUAUUGACACACUACACAAACUGUGUAGGCACUGUAUUGACACUGUGUUGGUCGCUCAAUAGUGACCCCUGCAGUAGUUAUAAAAUCAUUGCAGGUAAAUAAAAUGAAAAUAAGAUCGAAAAGCUAACCUGCUGCAAACGCAACAUCAGCCUGUGAAAUAGUUAAUCGCCAGUCCUCUUAUUUAAAAUAUGAUCUCAUCAUUGCAUAAUUUCAUGUGCUCAAUUUGUGUGUUGAGUUAAGCUGUUCA
Molecule: long non-coding RNA, 1948 nt
Organism: Thalassophryne amazonica
Lineage: Eukaryota; Metazoa; Chordata; Actinopteri; Batrachoidiformes; Batrachoididae
Exons: 3
Source: RefSeq, a predicted model, not a curated record